Molecule: ribosomal RNA, 460 nt
Filed under: uncultured bacterium
Lineage: Bacteria
Description: partial 16S ribosomal RNA
Rfam family: Bacterial small subunit ribosomal RNA
Source: RNAcentral
CCUACGGGUGGCUGCAGUGAGGAAUAUUGGUCAAUGGCCGGAAGGCUGAACCAGCCAAGCCGCGUGAAGGACGAAGGUGCCAAGCAUUGUAAACUUCUUUUGUCAAGGGACAAAAUCAGGCUCGAGAGCCUGACCGAGGGUACUUGAAGAAAAAGCAUCGGCUAACUCCGUGCCAGCAGCCGCGGUAAUACGGAGGAUGCGAGCGUUAUCCGGAUUUAUUGGGGUUAAAGGGUGCGUAGGCGGACUGUUAAGUCAGCGGUAAAAGCCCGGGGCUCAACCCCGGCUAGCCGGUGAAACUGGCGUUCUUGAGUGGAAGAGAAGUAUGCGGAAAGCGUGGUGUAGCGGUGAAAUGCAUAGAUAUCACGCAGAACCCCGAUUGCGAAGGCAGCAUGCCGGCUUCCGACUGACGCUGAAGCACGAAAGCGUGGGGAUCGAACAGGAUUAGAUACCCCUGGUAGUC